Long non-coding RNA from Prunus avium (sweet cherry), 892 nucleotides. RefSeq lists it as uncharacterized. Lineage: Eukaryota; Viridiplantae; Streptophyta; Magnoliopsida; Rosales; Rosaceae. The record is from RefSeq and is a predicted model, not a curated record.
AACUCCCCCCAAAAAAUUUCAUCCUUUUCCCUCAAAAAAUUUCACUAAGUCUUAAACCUAACUCUCUCUCUCUAUCUCUCUUCUCUCCCUGUCAAAAAUCCCAAAGUUCUUCUCUCUGCUCUUAACUCUCAAAAAGAAAAAAUCGUGAAGCACACAAAGUUCUCUCUCUGCUCUUGACCUCUCAGUCGUGACUGUACCCUAUGGCUGGCUCUCAGUCGUUUCUGAUCUCGAACUCUUCUCUCCCUCCUUGCGAAGGCUCAAGGGUUUGGGUUCUGAGCAAUUCUGUCAGAGGUCGAUUCGGCGACUACUUCGUACAGGGAUUUGGCGAGCAUCGAGUGACGAAUCCAACAAUGUUUCAGAGACCCAUCCAAGGGGUUCUGUUCUCCUAUUUAGAGAGAUCGAGGUAUUGGAUAUUCAGGAAAAGAAUUGUACUGCAAUACUGAUGGGGAACACAGGAAGUGUGAAAUCUCUCUGUCCUCAUCAAACUAAUCCUGGGUUUUGGUAUGUUCCCAUAAGUGUUGCGUUUUCUUCCUCGAAGAAGAGAUAAGUCAGAAAUUUGAGAAGACCCAUUGGACUGUAAAAAUUUUCAAGUAAUGGAGGAUGUUCUGGACCGGCAAAGUCAACCACUUAUAUAGAGCUAGAAGGAAGGACACAUACACCCAAAUGGAAUUGGAUGAGGUGCGAGAAGAAUUGGCAAGUCAUGUCCUAGAAUGGCUUUUUGAUUAAGCUAAACAUUCCUUCAUUUUAUAUGUCUUUCUAGCUAGUAUUUUGCUUAUGCAUAGACAAGUAUGGAUAAUUUGUGGUGUAGGGCUGGUAAAUUUGUGAUUUGGAUGUGACAAGUAUGGAUCAUUCAAGUAUUUUGCUUAUAUAAGAAAGUAUGGCAUUUCUUAAA